RNAcentral lists this ribosomal RNA (318 nucleotides) under Triticum aestivum (bread wheat). RNAcentral describes it as "partial small subunit ribosomal RNA". The record is from RNAcentral. Lineage: Eukaryota; Viridiplantae; Streptophyta; Magnoliopsida; Poales; Poaceae.
AAAUUCCACCAUCUCCCAAAAAGAGAUGUCUUAAAGAAAAAAUUAUCAAUCAUGCAAAGGUAUCUUUGCGGGAUGAAAUAUAUGACGAGAUUGUCAGGCAUUCGAAUCAUCCUUGAUCAGCAAAAAGACUAUAUACUUUUGGGAAUGUGUUAUUUUGGGAUUUGUACUAUUUGUUUAGUCGAUGCAGAUUGUGACCCGGAUCUCACAAAUAUUUUGAUUCCAAACAAUGAUGAUAUUAUGGCUUCAGUUCGAUUGACUCUUAGCAAAUUAGUAUUUGCAAUUUGUGAGGGUCAUCCUCUCUACAUAAGAAAUCGGUGA